CAACCCUUACGCCUCUGUUGCGUAGCGUUGGGAGCCUCUGUACCGCCUCUGCGCGGUACACUCCCCAAAGUCAGUGGCAGAGUCACGGCACACUCUGAGCGUAGUAAUCAUUAUCUCGCUUCUGCUGGUGCCAUGGCGAUCGCCAUAAGCCUUCUAUAUUCUAGU
RNAcentral lists this unclassified non-coding RNA (165 nucleotides) under Gyrothrix inops. Its description in RNAcentral is "sequence contains ITS2". The record is from RNAcentral. Lineage: Eukaryota; Fungi; Ascomycota; Sordariomycetes; Xylariales; Gyrothricaceae.